RNAcentral lists this unclassified non-coding RNA (340 nucleotides) under Hevea brasiliensis (rubber tree). Lineage: Eukaryota; Viridiplantae; Streptophyta; Magnoliopsida; Malpighiales; Euphorbiaceae. The record is from RNAcentral.
AAAAACUUGUAUCUGAAAGAAAAUUUUUUUGCUUAAUAGUUCUAUUAAGCGAGCAUUUCUCUUUCAGAAGCAAUUUUUUUGUGUUUACCAAACUGUGGAAUGAAAUGAUUUUUGGAACUGUAUCUUUAAAAUAUUAUAACUGACGACAUGUAAGCUAUUUGUUUCAAUCUGCUAUAGGAAAGUCUUGACUUACUCUUCUGUAUCAGCCACUUGGUAAUGAAGCAUGGCUUUUCAAAUUUAUACUUUAAUUGGGUGCUUAUUGGGUUGUUCCAUAUGUUGAUGCCCAUAGAGAAUAGUAUCUUGAUGCAUUUAUUUUUAGCAGCUGUCACUGCAUUGUCCA